Spodoptera frugiperda (fall armyworm) is the source of this 1303-nucleotide long non-coding RNA. RefSeq lists it as uncharacterized. Lineage: Eukaryota; Metazoa; Arthropoda; Insecta; Lepidoptera; Noctuidae. The transcript is spliced from 2 exons. The record is from RefSeq and is a predicted model, not a curated record.
GCUAUAGGCUUCUCUUCGGAGCCACCGCUUUGUGUAUACUAGUUAUCUCCUAAUUAAUAAAUCAGUUGUAAUUAGUGAAAUACUGUAAUGACUUAUUUUCACACCCGUCUUGUGAACGUAAUUACUGUACGCAACAGAUUGGUGCUUUAAGCAACCCGAAGAAUUACCUAACGGGAAGCGUGGCGUAUGCAGGCGGACUUUGGACCCUCUUCAUUCGAAAACGCACAUGGUUACGUUAGUCAAAAUUAUACUAAUUGUUAAAAUCGAGUUGCUUCGUGACGAAACUCCCGGCGAAGAUGACGUUACGCCGUCUGAGCGCAGCAGUUUGAGAAUGAAUACUUAGCAGAGAUAGCCAACGCCUGCUGUCUUCUUGCAGCAAAGGGUCGUGAUUCUGCGGCAAGCUUCAAUGACGCACGAUCAGGUGAGGAUUUCAAGGGCAGUCCGAACGUUAGCCUUCCCUAAAAUUUAUUUGCCUAAAUUCAGCGGUAGUUGCUUUUUUUAUAUUAGCGUUACCACACCCUAGGAUUUUCUCCUGUGUCGUAGGUGCGUUUACAACCAUACAAUUUCAUAGACCCUAAACAAAAAAUUGUGGAUGACACAAAGAUUUGCUCCAUGCGGGAAUCGAACCCGCUACACGUUGCACAACAGCCAGUUGCCCAGCCCCCGAGCCGACUGUGCAGUCAAAGUUAUCAGCACUGGCUCGAGUUUAGGGACAUUUUAUCUUCAUUAUUCAUAAGAAUGUAAACAUUGAUAAUACAUAUUACCAAACUCCAUUGGCUAAGAGCGUCGCUUAAAGGAAGCGCAGUGUUAAUUAUAAAACAUAAUUAUUACUGUGGUUACUGCCAAGCAAAGGGCCUCGGGUUCCAUUCCCGGAUCGGGCAAAGUACUGCUGGGCUUUUCUCAUGAGUAGCACGAAGUCUGGAAUUGUGCCUGACGAAUAAUACAUAAUGAAAAGUAGGUAUAUGUAUAUUGGCAUGACGUGCCGUAAUGUGCAGGUGCCUCUGCUUGCGUUCAUAUUACUGUAUCUGUAGUGAUACUUAUAAUAUAGCAUGGGAUUUACUACUUGAGCUGGACGACAACAGUCGGCUGCUUGUUAUUAUUAAUAACCAUUCACAAGCUUUUUUUAAUCUUGAACAGAUACUUACGGAGUCUUGUAAGUCCAUUCGUUGUCUGGUUGAUACAACUACCAAAAAUAUAGCGGCACUUCUACAUUGCAGCAACCUACCGAAUAUUGGGAUACUUUAAUUAUUUUUAUAAUGUCGUCCAAAUGAAAUAAAACUAAAUAGUUCAUUAACAUGUCCAA